GAAUGAAACAGAAUAAAACAGAAGGAAAAAGGGAAACCAAUUCUUAACUUUGGACAUCAUACUCAUCCCUAGUUAUAAGAGAGUCAAGUCACAGGUAUCCCCAAGGACUGAAAGAAAAGGGACUAUACCGAGUUGGAGAGUUGAGCGAGGUUCUGUCGAGGUUCCAGUCUACGACUCUGUCAUUACAUCAAAAAUAAAAAUUAUAAGUUAAAACAUAAAUGAAAUUACAAAAUUCCUAUCUAUGCGACUUCUUUUGGACUCUUGACUUGAGUUUCAUCACCCUAUUCUUCAGGCGGGCUCCUGACUUGUAAUUUCUUCAACUUUUUGCCUGACUUUCAAUUUCUUCACCCUGUUCUCUAGGUGGGCUCCUGACUUGCUAUUUUUCAAUUUGUGGACUUUCAAUUUCUUCACCUUGUUAUUUGACUUUCAAUUUAUUCUCCCUGUGCUUCAGGCGGGUUCCAAUGUUGCUUGAAUUAUCAAAACAAGGAAGUGUGCUGCUUACAAAUGCCGCUUGAAUUACCCAAACAAGGAAGUGCGUCUCCUUACAAAUUCCGGUUGAAUUACCCAAACAAGAAAGUGCAUCUCCUUACAAAUGUCGAUUGAAUUACCCAAACAAGGAAGUGCGUCUCCUUACAAAUGCUACUUGAAUUUUGAAAUAAGAAAGUACGUCUCAUUUCCAAUGCCGCUUGAAUUACCUAAAUAAGGAAGUGCGUCUCCUUACAAAUGCCCAUUGAAUUACCAAAAUAAGGAAGUACGUCUCCUUACAAAUGCCGCUUGAAUUACCAAAAUAAGAAAGUGCGUCUCCUUACCAAUGCCUGUUGAAUUACCCAAAUAAGGAAGUGCAUCUCUUUACAAAUGCCGCUUGAAUUACACAAACAAGGAAAUGUGUCUCCUUACAAAUGCCACUUGAAUUAACCAAACAAGAAAGUGCGUCUCCUUACCAAUGUUGCUUGAAAUGUCCAAACAAAGAAGUGCGUCCCCUUACAAAUACUACUUGAAUUACCAAACAAGGAAGUGCGUCUCCUAACAAAUGUUUCUUGACUUACCAAAACAAGGAAGUGCUUCUUCUUACCAAUGUAGCUUGAGUUACCCAAACAAGGAAGUGCGUCUCCUUACAAAUGCCACUUGAAUUACACAAACAAAGAAAUAUGUCUCCUUACAAAUACCACUUGAAUUAACCAAACAAGGAAGUGCGUCUCCUUACAAAUAUUGCUUGAAAUGUCCAAACAAGGAAGUGUGUCCCCUUACAAAUACCACUUGAAUUACCAAACAAGGAAGUGCAUCUCCUAACAAAUGUCUCUUGAAUUACCAAAACAAGGAAGUGCAUCUCCUUACCAACGCCGCUUGAAUUACCCAAACAAGAAAGUAUGUCUUCUUACAAAUACCGCUUGAAUUACACAAACAAAGAAAUGCGUCUCCUUACAAAUACCACUUGAAUUAACCAAAUAAGGAAGUGUGUCUCCUUACAAAUGUUGCUUGAAAUGUUCAAUAAAGAAAGUACGUCCCCUUACAAAUACCAUUUGAAUUACCAAACAAGGAAGUGCGUCUCCUAACAAAUGUCUCUUGAAUUACCAAAAAGAGGAAGUGCGUCACCUUACCAAUGCCGCUUGAAUUACCCAAACAAGGAAAUGUGUCUCCUUACAAUUGUCGCUUGAAUUACACAAACAAGGAAAUGUGUCUCCUUACAAAUGUCACUUGAAUUAACUAAACAAGAAAGUGUGUCUCCUUAUAAAUGUCGCUUGAAUUACCCAAACAAGGAAGUGCAUCUCCUUACAAAUAUUGCUUGGAUUACCCAAACAAGAAAGUGCAUCUCCUUACAAAUGUUGCUUGAAUUGCCCAAACAAGGAAGUUUGUUUCCUUACCAAUGUUGCUUGAAUUAACCAAACAAGAAAGUGCGUCUCCUUACAAAUAUUACUUGAAUUAUCCAGACAAGAAAGUGUGUCUCCUCACAAAUAUCACUUGAAUUAUCUAAACAAGGAAGCGCAUCUCCUUACAAAUGUCUCUUGAGUUAUCCAAACAAGGAAGUGUGUCUCCUAGAGAUAUUGGAUGAUGAGUUUUACCAUGGUUUUGAUUACCAAGCCUGUGCACAAUAUUGUCUCCUGCAUUUGUGGAAGUGAGACAUUGCAACUUUUCAUGUUUAGGCUUUGAAAUCCUUGAUUCGAAGGUAAUAUGUAUUCCUGUUUCAUACAAAGAAAACUUGUUAGUUUAAAAACAUGGUGGCUGAUUUGUGGCUUUGGCUUUUGUGGCAAUCGCUCUUACCCUUGUCACAUUAAUCUUGCUGUCAACCAUUAGCAUAUGUCAUUGACUCACUCCAUCAUUGAUUCGAACUUGGAUUAUCAAGAGUGACUCUGAAACAAACACAGUAUUUUUGCUUUGCCAUGCUUCUCAGAUAAACUCUUUGAGCCUUAAUAUUUCCAUAAGUUCCUAGACUUAUUUAUUGACAAAACUUUCAGCAUGCCUUAUUUCAGCUUACAAUCAUGUCUCUUUCAUGUGUUGGCCUUUUGUCUUGCUUUGUGUAAUUGAAGAAGCUGGUAGCCAGUUUUGAAAUCUUUUCUCACUUGUUUUGAUAUAGAGUUGACUCAAAGACAAGAGAAAAAUGACAAUGACUUUUAUUUGGAUAAUUGACUCGAGAAAACAAAAUAAAAAUAAAGAGAAGAAAGAAAAGACAAUGAAUGUCCCCAUUUGAAAUAAAGAAAUGAAAAAACUAUCUAGAAAUAACAAUCAACUCUAAUGAUUAUACCAUGUAUAUUGGAUCAAGCUUCCCGAUCUUUCCAUCCAAACUUUCUACCAAUUGUUCUUGAGUUAAUGGCUCUGAAACUAAGUUACUUGCUUGGACCCAUUGCAUUCUAAGAGCUCAUUCGGCUAGUGGCACAUUGAAGGAUUUUUGCCAACAAGUCUCUCAUUUUUCUCUCAACUCACCAUCGCCUUAUGAUGCCCAUGGUGCCCAUGGGUUUUCACCAAUAAAACUCUCUCAUUUUUAUCUCUCUCAACUUAUCAUUGCCUUAUGGUGCCCGUGAGGGUUUUCACCAAUAAAAUUCUCAUUUUUAUUUCUCUCCUAAUUUCUUAUGCAAAGAAAGACGAGUAGUUCCCAAAAUGUGUCAUCAUAUCCAUUGCAUGCUUAGUCUUAACAUUCUCAAAGAUUGAUCUGAAGGUCUUUCUUUGGUUGUAACUAAUUUUUUGGAGAGGGUUAGAAAGAAAGGAUGGCAUGGGGCCCAAAUAACACUUGAAGUGGGGUGACACUUACAAUUUUUGGAAUCGACUCAAACAAUGAGGAUACCUCAUGCCCCAGUUUAUUUUGACUAGGUGACUAUAAAUUGUUUAUUUGGUUGGACCGAGCCUCGGGUAGAGGAGCCUACGUAUCUCACCCCCGAGAGAAGAGAAUCAGGUCAUGCGUAGUUCUGACAGCUUGUUCUUUUACUUGAUUCUGAUUAUUUUUCCUUUUAUUGACUUUUUCUCUUUGGAACUUUUCUGACUCUAUUUUUCUGAAUAGAUUUUUACGAGACCUGCGAAGAGGAUAAUUUGUAAAAAAAAAAAAAAAACCAUACUUUUAGUUGACUUUCAUUCUAUAUAUUUCCAACAGUGAUUCGAAUCCAUAUUCUCUACUAAUUCUAGGUAGACACAAGCAACCACAUAUCGUAAUAUACAAGAUGAGUAACGAGUGAUGCGAGACGAGAUGAUUUGUAUAUUCCUAAAACUCAAUCUGUAAAUAAUAUAAAGAGAGUAGAUGAAACAAAUAUGCACCUAAAAGGGCGAUGUACAGUUGUGUGACUCCUCUAACUCAUAUGUAUUUGGUAAAAUAUAAAACAGGGGAGGAUAAACUCGUCACACUAAACAUCCAUAUAUUGAACAGUCGACAAUUUAAAACAAGGCCCCAUAUUCAGGAAUCGUAUUCGCAGAGAACAAGAAACAACACCAACAUAUACUUAAAAGCCAAAUAAGUUACAUAUUAACAUAGCCAAAAUAUAUGUAAGAGAAAAGGGAUGAAGGCCGAGUGAUGACCUUGUUUUGAGCAGCAAACUUGAGGCUUCAACGUCAAGUUUCCGGCUUGAGCUCGACUUUGGAACUCAAUCUCGGAAUCAAGAAAAUACCAAAGAUUUUUUAAAAAAUUGAAUGUGUGCUCUCCCCUCUCCGAAUUUGAAAUCUUAAUUUUCUCUCUUAUCCCCCGAAACCGUGAACCCCGUUUUGAACCUUUCUCAACGAAGUCCCUUUAUUUCGGAUUUCCCCCAAUUUUCUAAAUCUCCCUCUUCUAUUUUUGAACAUCCAAAAAACCCCCAAUCCAUUCACCCUCCAAUCAAAAACCUCCCCACCUCAAGAGUGAAAAAUGUAACUAUUUAUCGGCAAAUCCGGACUUGAAAGUCCGGAUUUGAAACCAAAAAUUUGCAGGGGCCAACGGGCAAAUCGAAGGGGAGGAAAUCAAAAUUUAAAAAUUGAAAGGGACCUCACAUACUCGAAAUUUCAAACGUUUCUCAUGCCUUAAUGGUGGAUUUCAAAAGACACCUCUAUUACUGCACCAAUUUGGGACUGUUUCUCUCUGAUUUCAGAGAUUCGUGGGUUGGACUUGGCCGAGAAGGGGAGAAUCUUGGUAGGCUAGCGGCAGGGGCGCGACAGCUAUUGCUGCUAGCCCCUCCGAUUUGGGUGAGAGAGAGGAAAUGGGAAGAGAAAGGAAAAAAGUCGUUUGAUUUUGUUUUGUUUUGGGAAGAGUUAUGCUGAUGGAACGUUGCUCCUUGGGAAAGGAAAAGCGUGUAUUUGCCUAGGGGAGAGGAAGACAGUUGUUUGUAUUGGUUCCUUGAUUAAUUUUGAUCCAUGAAUAAAUAUUCUAAAAAUAAUAGUAAAGUAUAUAUAAGCUGAUUUAAAAUUGAUUAUUUUGUUUUUAUGUUUUAGGUUUAUCAUUAAAAGUUUGUAUUAGAAGAGUCAAAGAUAGUAGAACAAAAAUAUUCUGGUCGAAAAAGAAUAGAUCAAUUUUCUUAUUUAUUUUCCUCCAAAUAAGAUGGUCUUUGUUUCAAUGACAAUACUUGUCAAAUUUGUCUUUCGGAGUUUUAAAAAAAAUGUGUUUGUACUCCCAUG
This 5064-nucleotide long non-coding RNA is filed under the name Capsicum annuum. Its description in RNAcentral is "long non-coding RNA (CANN_LNC012119)". The record is from RNAcentral. Lineage: Eukaryota; Viridiplantae; Streptophyta; Magnoliopsida; Solanales; Solanaceae.